CUUUUCUGGAUAAAUAUCGAAAGAAUUUAUUUUUAUUUUUUUGAAUUAUCGAUAACAUUUUAUCGUUGUAAACAAUAGAAAUAAUAUUAGAUGUAAAGCUGAAACAGCUCUGAAAAGAAAGAAAAGUUUGUAAGUUUGAAAACAUCAGAAACAAAAUGUUAAGUUUUGAAGUAGGCAGUGUUGUGUGGUGUAUCUAAAUCGACCAAUCUCCAAUGACUAAAAGUUGUUCCUUCGUCAUGUGACGUCUCCCCACUGGCAUAAAGCCCAAAGACUGCUUUUCCUAGCGGGGGAGUUACUUGGGUUUGUAAUCAAUCGGUUUGUUAGGUGAAGUGAAGCGUAAGUCGUUCUUUGCUUUUUUAGCCGGGAUGGCGCCAUGAUAGGAUUAUCCACUACGUUACGUUCAUCUAGCAAAGACGUGAUGAACCAGCAUUCGCCCCGUCAGAACAGCCCUAUGGGGUCGCCUAGAUCUCCUCGUAUAGCACUGGCUAAGCUGCAAGGUAAAAUGUAUUUACCCAAACUACAACUGAGGAGACGUCACACCGCUAACAUACCCGAAACGAACGAUGGUGCCUUACUCCGUCGUCAUUCCGUCGAUCCUGAUCGGAGGCGCGCUUCUGGAUUCCAU
RNAcentral lists this long non-coding RNA (625 nucleotides) under Androctonus crassicauda. The record is from RNAcentral. Lineage: Eukaryota; Metazoa; Arthropoda; Arachnida; Scorpiones; Buthidae.